GCUGGGUGUGGUGGUGCGCACCUGUAAUCCCAGCUACUCGGGAGGCAGAGGCAGGAGAAUCACUUGAACCCAGGAGGCAGAGGUUGCAGUGAGCUGAGAUUGUGCCACUGCACUCUAGCCUGGGCGACAGAGCGAGACUCCGUCUCAA
Molecule: non-coding RNA, 148 nt
Filed under: Nomascus leucogenys (northern white-cheeked gibbon)
Lineage: Eukaryota; Metazoa; Chordata; Mammalia; Primates; Hylobatidae
Source: Rfam by way of RNAcentral